CUUGAAUUCUCCUCUGAGCAGUUUUAUGGGUUAGGGGUGUAAUUCCUGUACUCCGCUCCAGGCCUCAGUAUGAAAUCCUGUGAGAUUUUGUGGGAUUUGAGUUUUUGACAGAAGGACGAGGCUGAUUGUUUGGUCUGGGAGAGCAUGUGGUGGAAGGGUUAGGCUGGCUGCUGCAGGUGGGCUUUAAAUCAGUUCAAAUCACUUGUUUUUCAUUUUUAUUAUGAUGUGCUUAGAUGUGCCUCUGAUCCAGAACAGCUCAUUCACAUGGCUGCAGCCAUCAGUCCUGCAGGCUGUUAAUCACCACAGAUUGAAUCCAGGUGGCAGAAGAACCACUGAUCUGCAGUUUGACCCAAAGCUGACUGACUGCAGGGAAACGGUCAGGAAGUGGCUUCAUUAGGCGCCACAGCGGGAGGAGGAAGGCACCAAGGAGCCA
Molecule: non-coding RNA, 433 nt
Organism: Poecilia reticulata (guppy)
Lineage: Eukaryota; Metazoa; Chordata; Actinopteri; Cyprinodontiformes; Poeciliidae
Source: RefSeq, a predicted model, not a curated record